UAUUUGUAUCCCCAGUUAGAGGGCUUAAAGUAUCUUGUUUAGAGAGACAAAGCUGGUAGCUGAUUUCUAAUUCAAGCCCACAUUGCAUUGCUGGAGUUCAGGCUAGGAGGUAGAGGAGUGGGGAAAGAAGAGAUCAUAGAGAGUUUCAGACAGCAAAGAAAACAUCACAUUUUCUCAAAUGUAAGAACUAAAACAAGCAAGCAAGGAGGUGUCAACUUAGUAAAGGAAACCAGGGUGAGGCCAGCAGGGGUCCGACCACCACCUUUGGAGUCUUGCAGGCUCCUCCUCAAAUGA
This 294-nucleotide long non-coding RNA is filed under the name Pan paniscus (pygmy chimpanzee). RNAcentral describes it as "lncRNA (ENSPPAG00000045033.1)". Lineage: Eukaryota; Metazoa; Chordata; Mammalia; Primates; Hominidae. The record is from RNAcentral.